GGUUGCGAUCAUACCAUCACUAAUGCACCGGAUCCCAUCAGAACUCCGCAGUUAAGCGUGCUUGGGCGAGAGUAGUACUAGGAUGGGUGACCCCCUGGGAAGUCCCCGUGUUGCAACCC
RNAcentral lists this ribosomal RNA (119 nucleotides) under Helianthus annuus (common sunflower). Lineage: Eukaryota; Viridiplantae; Streptophyta; Magnoliopsida; Asterales; Asteraceae. The record is from RNAcentral.